RNAcentral lists this ribosomal RNA (697 nucleotides) under uncultured bacterium. RNAcentral describes it as "bacterial SSU rRNA". It matches the Rfam family "Bacterial small subunit ribosomal RNA", at positions 1 to 716 of the family's 1533-position model. The record is from RNAcentral.
UAGAGUUUGAUCAUGGCUCAGAAUCAACGCUGGCGGCGUGCCUCAGACAUGCAAGUCGAACGAUUAAAGCCCUCUUCGGAGGGUGUAUAAAGUGGCGCACGGGUGAGUAACACGUAAGUAAUCUACCCUCGGGUGGGGAAUAACAACCGGAAACGGUUGCUAAUACCGCAUAAUGCAGCGGCUCCUUAUGGAGACAGUUGUUAAAGGAUUUAUUCGCCUGAGGAGGAGCUUGCGGCAAAUUAGCUAGUUGGUAAGGUAAUGGCUUACCAAGGCUACGAUCUGUAGCCGGUCUAAGAGGACGGUCGGUCACACUGACACUGAAUAACGGGUCAGACUCCUACGGGAGGCAGCAGUCGGGAAUUUUGGGCAAUGGGCGAAAGCCUGACCCAGCAACGCCGCGUGAAGGAUGAAGUAUUUCGGUAUGUAAACUUCGAAAGAAUAGGAAGAAUUAAUGACGGUACUAUUUAUAAGGUCCGGCUAACUACGUGCCAGCAGCCGCGGUAAUACGUAGGGACCAAGCGUUGUUCGGAUUUACUGGGCGUAAAGGGCGCGUAGGCGGCAUGACAAGUCACUUGUGAAAUCUCUGGGCUUAACUCAGAACGGCCAAGUGAUACUGUCGCGCUAGAGUGCAGAAAGGGCAAUCGGAAUUCUUGGUGUAGCGGUGGAAUGCGUAGAUAUCAAGAGGAACACCUGAGGC